RNAcentral lists this ribosomal RNA (332 nucleotides) under uncultured bacterium. RNAcentral describes it as "bacterial SSU rRNA". It matches the Rfam family "Bacterial small subunit ribosomal RNA", at positions 568 to 898 of the family's 1533-position model. The record is from RNAcentral.
CAUGCAGGCGGUCGAGCGCGUUUUGUGUGACAGCGGGUGGCUUAACUACCCGAGUAUACGAAAGACGGUUUGACUUGAGGGCUCGAGAGGGACACGGAAUUCCGGGUGGAGUGGUGAAAUGCGUAGAGAUCCGGAGGAACACCGAAGGCGAAGGCAGUGUCCUGGCGAGUGACUGACGCUGAGGUGCGAAAGCCAGGGGAGCGAACGGGAUUAGAUACCCCGGUAGUCCUGGCCGUAAACGAUGACCACCAGGUGUGGGAGGUAUCGACCCCUUCUGUGCCGAAGGAAACCCAUUAAGUGGUCCGCCUGGGGAGUACGGUCGCAAGGUUGAA